This 1448-nucleotide long non-coding RNA is filed under the name Salmo salar (Atlantic salmon). RNAcentral's name for it is "lncRNA (ENSSSAG00000097214.1)". The record is from RNAcentral. Lineage: Eukaryota; Metazoa; Chordata; Actinopteri; Salmoniformes; Salmonidae.
GUCAAGACUGUAACUCGGCCAAUCAGGAACAUUCAACCGUCUUCUUGAAGAUGCAGCCACCAUUUGCUUGAAAAAAUGGACAGUGGUUCUCAGUCAUGUGUUGUAUUGGAUUUGCCCCAAACAUAACACUUUGUAUUCAUGACAUUGCUUUGCCACAUUUUUCACAGUAUUAGUGCCUUGUUGGAAUAUUUGUAUUCUGUACAGGCUUCCUUCUUUUCACGCUGUCAAUUAGGUUAGUAUUCUGGAGUAAGCACAAUGUUGUUGAUCACAGCCAUUAAACUUUAUAACUGUUCUAAUGUCAACAUUGGCCUCAUCGUGAAAUCCUUGAGCGGUUUCCUUCCUCUUCGGCAACUGAGUUAGGAAGGAAGCCUGUAUCUUUGUAGUGACUGGGUGUAUUGAUACACCACCCAAAGUGUAAUGAAUAACUUCACCAUUCUCAAAGGGAUAUUCAAUGUCUUCUUUUUUUGUAGCCAUGUACCAAUAGCUUCCCUACUUUGCGAGGCAUUGGAAAAACCUCCCUGGUCGUUGUGGUUGAGUCUUGUAAAAAAUUCACUGCUUGACUGAGGGACCUUACAUAUAAUUGUAUGUGGGGGGUACAGAUAUGAGGUAGUCACUCAAAAAUCAUGUUAAACAGUACUAUUGCACACAGAGUGAGUCCAUGCAACUUAUUAUGUGACUUGUUAAGCAACUUUUUGCUCCUGAAGUUAUUUAGGGUUGCCAUAACAAAUGGCAUAACAAAAUAAUUAUUGACACAAGAGAUUUCUGCUUUUUAUUAGUAAUUAAUUUGUCCCCCAAAAAUGAAAAACGUCAUUCCAAUUUGACAUUAUGGGGUAUUUUGUGGAGGCCAAUGACAAAAAAACGAAAUGUAAUCCAUUUUAAAUUCAGGCUGUAACACAACAAAACUUGGAAAAUGUUUUAGAGCGCUUUCAAUUAUUCCCUAUAUGAUCCGGAUCCUGGAGGGCCUGGUACCCUGAUCCGAACUACAAAGUAUAUGUGAAACGCAACCAGCCCUGGCUGACACAAAUCCUUGGAACUGCUUGAGUAGCGAGUCUAGGACCAGAGUACCAGAUAUUGUGAUGUGGCAGUGUGAUUUGCUUGGAACUUUUUUUCCCAUUGUAAAACAGCUAGCUUGCUAGUGUUAUGUAUGUGCAUUUUGCUAAUCGCACACUGAAACUGUUAUUUUCUGGUCUUGUGAAAGCAAGACGUAUCCUGUAGAAUUAUCACAAAUGUUUCAGGAAACCGAACCAGGGUACUGAAUUUAACAAGUAAAAAAUCCCUUAACAUUCAAACUUUGGCACUUUGGUGUUGAAAACAAUUUCAACAGUUGGACAGUUAUCAAUAUUUUCUGGUGACAUUUCCUGUGCGGACUGCAUGUGGUAGGCCUACAAUAAAGAUGUACAUUAUAUUACAGAAACAUAUUGGAUGAUGGCACUUAAUUUUUUCCAGAC